GAUGAACGCUGGCGGCGUGCCUAAUACAUGCAAGUAGAACGCUGAAGCUUGGUGCUUGCACCGAGCGGAUGAGUUGCGAACGGGUGAGUAACGCGUAGGUAACCUGCCUCUUAGCGGGGGAUAACUAUUGGAAACGAUAGCUAAUACCGCAUAAAAGUCGAUAUCGCAUGAUAUUGAUUUGAAAGGUGCAAAUGCAUCACUAAGAGAUGGACCUGCGUUGUAUUAGCUAGUUGGUGAGGUAACGGCUCACCAAGGCGACGAUACAUAGCCGACCUGAGAGGGUGAUCGGCCACACUGGGACUGAGACACGGCCCAGACUCCUACGGGAGGCAGCAGUAGGGAAUCUUCGGCAAUGGGGGCAACCCUGACCGAGCAACGCCGCGUGAGUGAAGAAGGUUUUCGGAUCGUAAAGCUCUGUUGUAAGAGAAGAACGAGUGUGAGAGUGGAAAGUUCACACUGUGACGGUAACUUACCGGAAAGGGACGGCUAACUACGUG
RNAcentral lists this ribosomal RNA (497 nucleotides) under uncultured bacterium. RNAcentral's name for it is "partial 16S ribosomal RNA". It matches the Rfam family "Bacterial small subunit ribosomal RNA", at positions 28 to 507 of the family's 1533-position model. The record is from RNAcentral.